This 274-nucleotide ribosomal RNA is filed under the name uncultured bacterium. RNAcentral's name for it is "partial 16S ribosomal RNA". It matches the Rfam family "Bacterial small subunit ribosomal RNA", at positions 523 to 796 of the family's 1533-position model. The record is from RNAcentral.
AUACGGAGGGGGCUAGCGUUGUUCGGAAUUACUGGGCGUAAAGCGCACGUAGGCGGCGCACGCAGUCAGAGGUGAAAGGCCUGGGCUCAACCCAGGAACUGCCUUUGAUACUGGUGUGCUAGAGUCCGGGAGAGGGUAGCGGAAUUCCCAGUGUAGAGGUGAAAUUCGUAGAUAUUGGGAAGAACACCGGUUGCGAAGGCGGCUACCUGGACCGGUACUGACGCUAAGGUGCGAAAGCGUGGGGAGCAAACAGGAUUAGAAACCCCAGUAGUCC